RNAcentral lists this non-coding RNA (24 nucleotides) under Rattus norvegicus (Norway rat). The record is from RNAcentral. Lineage: Eukaryota; Metazoa; Chordata; Mammalia; Rodentia; Muridae.
CUGUUUUACUCGCCUCACUUUUGA